Molecule: long non-coding RNA, 9075 nt
Filed under: Heterocephalus glaber (naked mole-rat)
Lineage: Eukaryota; Metazoa; Chordata; Mammalia; Rodentia; Bathyergidae
Description: lncRNA (ENSHGLG00000049478.1)
Source: RNAcentral
CAGACAUUGAAGACAGAAGUGGCUUCUAAACUCUUCAAUAAAACUGAGGAUGUCUAGCUCCUGCAGGCUGCAAGAGCUUCAUACCAAACUUCUUCCUUAAGGAUGUUCUGGAGAAGCCCAUGAGCCAAGCAAGGUGCUUUGCACAGGCCCAAACCACGGUAUUUUAAAUUAUAGCCUGUACUCUUCCAUUUCUUAAGCAUUACCAUUGAUUUGGGUAUCCAAAGCCUUUCUAGGCUUCAUCGUUUUUAUUUUCUUUUUUGUUGUUAUUGUUGUUAUUUUUCCCUUGUAUCCCUUCAAAAAAAUGUUCUAAUGUUGCCUAGAGCCUAGAGGAAGUGAUGUUGUUCUUCAUAAUGGAACAAGUGUGGAACUCUUAGAGUUUAGAAAUACAAAUACCCAAAUACUUGACACUUAUCUGGCCAUCUUAUAUAUAUUUCUGACUCUUGAUCUUUUUAUUGUUCACCUUGGAACCUGACUGUAGCAUGCUCAAUAUUCGUAUGUUACUGAUUUAAAGGAAAAGACUUUUUAAGUUUUUGUUGUUGUUGUUGUUAUGCUACACCAUAUACUGUUCUUGCCCCCUACUCUUGACCCUAUCGAGGAGAGAUGUUAUAGGGAAUGAUUUAAAUAUUACCGCAAUUUUUAUGUUUUAAAUGGCACAUGGGAAAAGAUGAGUUGCUUGACUAAGAUAUAUACCAAAAGAGAUCACAAGGAUUCUUUUAUGAUGGGAGGUUUUUUUUUUUUUUCCACCUUAUUUCAGAUUCAAGGCCAAUAAGAACUUUAUACAAUCUUCUGGACAAAGCUUGCUACAUCCUAAUCUCUGCAAAUCCACUCUGUUCUGUUCAUUGCUCUCCUUAUUAAUCAGUUCUACUGAGCUGUACCCUUCUCAGUACUGAUACACACACUGCAUUUUUAUGCUUCUGUUUCUGAGUGGCCUUUUCUAUAUUUUUGCUUUGUCUUGCAUUCGAUUAUUUACAGCUUGGUCUGUAGAAUAGGACGCCAUCACUGCCUGCAUUUAGGCAACAGCACAUUAUGUCAUCUUGCUUCAUAUAUUUUACUUCUAUCUCUUUUAGGAAGAAGCUCAUUUGAGAAAUCUUGGCUUUUUUGCCUUUGGGGAGAAAUCAUUUACCUUCUUUUAUCUCAGCUGAAAUAUGUCUCCUUAGUCCCUUUGUUAAUACAAAGAAAAAAACCUUAUUUACAUCUUCUUGGAUCCUAUUCUUUAGCUCAAUUGCCUAAUUGUUGCAGCUUUAAGAAAGACCUAGAGUCAUUUUGUUGCUUUCACUCAUUGUGGGUGUAUUUUAUGGGUUCCACAAUGCCACAUUCACAAUCCUGCUUACUUUCCUGAGAAAGGCUUUUCUGUUUCACUCCAAUGUGCAGCAUCAUGUGUGUGCUUCAUUUCCUUCUCACACAUAGGAAAUAUGGCUGAACAAUACCCCUAGAAAAGAGCAAAAGGAAGAUAUUAGACCUAGCAAUAGUGCCCACUGCCUUGGACUCUGCCUGAUGAUGCAGACAGUUCUAGAGUACUUGAUAUAUUUUUUUAAGAGUUUAGCCUGAUUUUUCUUCCUUUAUGUCUUUUCUAGUAUCUUAAUUGUUCCUUAGAAUGAAUUUCCCUACCAGAGAUUACUGUUUCCCUUUCUCUCUUGACAAUGCAGAGUAAAUCAGGGUGUGGAAUAUUACCCAUACAGCCCACUCUCUGAGAGGGAUUGCCGGCUGAAGCCAUGCUGUUCAUAUGCCAUUCUGUGCCCAACUGUGGAUAAUAACUGAAUUGAUUUUACCCUGGGAAAGACAAAGGAACCUCGGGCUGCUUUCUGAAUCAUUUUGUUCUCAGGUUAUUCUGCUCUGAAUGGUAAAAUCUCUUCUAGAGUACUGGGUCACAUUUAGCUUCUUUUAUGGUAAAUGCCCUGUGAGGGAAAUUCUGUGCAUCUGUGUGUGUAUGUGUGUGUGUAUGUGUGUGUGUGUGUUUGUAUUUGUGUCUCUGUCUGUCUGUGUUGCCAAACAAAUAUGAGUCAAAGAACAUGAGUAAGUUUGUUUUCAAGUCCCCAUGAAUUCCUUCCUUUUGUUUUUUUAAAAAGCAACAUGCUUUGAAGACAUACUUUUCUUAAAAUGAAGACUAAAACUUGACCUUUAGAUCCUCUUAAAGUUUAUAGAAUACCAUUGUUUAAUAAAUUGUAAUAUUGCCAUUAAUAAGCUCAACCUAUAUAAAUUAUAAGAGCCAUACUAAUAAUAAUCAUUAUAAAUUGAGUGCCUAGUACACCUCAUGCAUGUUAAUUCACUAAAUCCUUACGACAACUCCAUUUGGUAUAUAUUAUUAUUUACAUGCUACAGAUGCAGAAACUGAGACACACAGAGAGGUUAAGAAAUUUGCUCAGGUCAUGUACAGUACAAGGGGCAGGCUUAGGUUUCAAGCCAGUGACCCCCAAGUCUUAAUGAUAAAAUGUACAAUUUUCUACCUUAUUCAGGGAAAAUCUAUACCUCUUACAUAAAGACCAUUAUAUCAACAAUAUAUUUUAAAAAUAUUUUAAGGAAAUUGUGAUUAAAUAGUACGCAUUUGUAAAUUAUUUUAUUUAUAUUACCUUAAUUGUGAUUUAUUCAAUUCUAUUAUCCCACUAUGUUUACAAAUUAUCUUAAAUAAUGUGGUAAAAUUAGGGAAGUUAACAUAUAAUGAUUGUCACCUUUAAAAAAAAAUCUCAAAUCUGGCAUACUUGUUCUAUGACUCCUUGAAUUCUUAUUUUUAAUUUACAUCUCUGCUUCACUCUUUUUUUUCUAUUGAAGUUCACUGAUACUUUUAUGAAGAUGAGAAGGUACAUACUCAUCGAGACUGUCUCUAGCAAGUAUAAAGUCUUAGUUUUUGCCUGUCCUUAUGAUGUAUCCUGCCACACAUGUAGUCCAAGGAUAUUCAUCGUAAUGAGCUUGCGCUUCUUCCUGGAUGCCAUGAAGUGAGCAGCUUUUCCUCUACCACACCUCUCUGCCUUGAAGCUGGUUGACUACAGACUGAAACCUCUACAAACUGUGAGCCAAAAUACGGCUUUCCUCCUUUCAGUUGCAGGAUGUAGGUAUUACCUCUCAGUCAUGAGAAAGUGACUAUGACAGUCUUUUUUUAUGUUAUCCAAAGACAAGUUGCUUCAUAUUCUUAGAGAGUUAAAGAUAGUAAAUGAAAUCACUGUUCUGGUGGUCUUGGAAAAGUUGUAUUGCCCAUCACAUUGUGUAAAUGACUAUCAAGUUGGUGGCCAGAAUAUGAAUUAGUAUGUGGGCAUAAAUAUCGUAAGGCUUUUUGUCCUUCUCCCCCGAGACUUUGUACCAAAGCUUCACUCUUGGAUCAAUACAUCAAAUAAAGAAUAAGUGACACUCCAAAGUCAUACCAUCCUAUCAAAAUAAUUGUUCAUAAUUAAUAUAAUUAUUGAUCAAAUAGGAGAAGUCACUGUCUAGAUGAUAUAAAGCUGUUAGGAUUUCAUGGAAAUGUUUCACAACGUAAUUAUAUUUCCCUGGGAGAUUAUAAAACAAUUUAUUAUAAAACAAUUUAUUUUUUCCAUGUGUUUCAUCAAUCAUUCUGUGGAUUGAAGGAAUACCAGAAUUUCAUUUCUAUGUCAAUUUCUGCAGAAUUUCAAGUCAUUUCAGUAUUAUAGAACUGACUCGAAGACAGGGCCUCACCACACGGGAAUCAUGUCCUACCAUACUUGUAAUGCUGGAGCCCCAUUCUGUUGGAUUCAUAGUGUGUGACAAAGCUAACUGCAAUAAGCUCUGACAGCCCCAUUGGUUUUUAUUGCAAACCAAAUUGAGGCCUAUGUAAAAUUUCCUUCUUAUAUAUGCGAUGAGCUAUAUUCUUCUCUGGGCCUUGGUUUCCUUAUCCAAGGAUGCAAGUGGUGACUAGUUUCCUUUCUACUUGUAAAGCUCAGUAUUCCAGUUUUGCUCAUGAUUAAGCUUUUCAGAUGUCCACAAUGGUGGAUCUCAUGGAUAACUGGGACUCUUGUUAAAGUGUAGAUUAUGGCUCAGGAGGUCUGGGUGGCACCUGGGUUCCUAAUAACCUCUCAGAUGACAUUGAAGCAGCUGGCCUAUAAAGCCAUCUUUAGUAGCAAGGAUCUGAAUGAAACAGAGAAGUUAGGGGAUAAGACUAGCUUUUCAUUUUCCUGUGGUAACACAUUUCCUUUCCUGCCCUGGCUAUGAUUCCUCAUUUUCUUCUGCAGAGGACUGUCAUAUGCCUCCUCUUUCCUAAGUACGCUAAACCACAUUUGGGCUUCUAGAAGACGAAGUGCAUUCACACAUAUCAUAGAUUCCCUCUCCAAGAAGGAAGCCACAGAGCUUAUCAGGAAAGAUCUGUGCCUCUGUGUCAGGCAUCCCCAGCCCUGCUGAAAUAUGAAAUAAAUGAGGUGGAGUUUAAUUUUAGGGUCUACAAAUUUGUAAUGUGUUCAUCAUUCCUGUUGCCUUUUUACAGGGCAAGCUGAAGUUGUCAGACUUGUUUGGCGAGGAAAUCCGCAGUUGAGUUCUGGUUUAAUGAAGCACUCGCACCCUCACUUGUCCUUCCUCUAAUCUUUACCUGCAGCGAGGAGAAAGAUGGUUUCAGUGCUGAAAUUCGGCACCUCUUUUUGCUUUCCUAGGGGCACGUUCUUGGAGGGAUUUUCCCAAACUGGACUGCAAGCUGGCUUCCCAGUAGAGGGCGCAAUGCCCGAGUGGCAUGGCCCCAGAGCUGUUUCCUCCUCUUCUGGGGUUGACUCUCCCUGCUAAGCUGGGAGGGAUCAAAAAUGAGCUCUCAGGAAGGAAGGAGAGGAAGGCUAUUUUAAGGGAGAAAAUCAAAUCAAAUCAUUUCAGAUCGGAAUCACUGACUUUUAAAAUGAAAGGUCUAUUUGGCUACUGUUAAUGGGCAGCGUUUCAUAAUUCUCAGCUAUUCUAAGCCUACCUCUUCUUUCUCAAAGCUUCUCUGAAUCUUGCAUUGUCCAGCAUUUGUAUCUUUCACUUUAAUGUAGCGAAAUAGGAAUUAUAUAAAGAAUUUUAAUAAUUCUCACUGGACAGUUAAGCAGUGAGAAGUCUUUGGAACUGUUACUCUUUCUGCCUUUUACAGACAAGUGCUUCCACAGAAUCCAAGGGAAGAGAAGAAUAACAUAUAUAUAUAUAUCUAUAUCUAUAGAUAUAGAUAUAGAUAUACAUAUACAUAUACAUAUAUAUAUACAUAUACAUAUAUAUAUGUGUAUAUAUAUAUAUAUAAAAUGGUGUGUGGGUUAGUAAUUUUUUAGUAAUAAAUGAAUGACCUUCCUAACAAGCUAAAAUAGUGAAAUAGAAAUCCACAUUUUUAUGGCCUGCCCUCCCUGAACCCUACUGCCCACUUUCUGCAACGCACACAGGAAAUGAAUUCCCUGUAAUGUGGAGGGGGGGUUGAAUAUGUUAAUCUCAAAUUCUCUAAAUGUUUUGGUUCCCCGUAAAUCAUGUGGGCACGACUCAGCCUAGUUAUUCCUUACAAAUUCCUUUCUUUUUCUUUUUUAAAACUAGCUUCUGUUUUUCCUCAUUUUUGAUAGAUCCCACUGCAAACUUCAGCUACAGUAAGUGCAGGGGACCAAAACACUAUUCGCACAUAGAAGGUAUUUUAUUAAGUCCAGCAGUUAAAAAUGUACAAAGUUCCUUGUAAUAAUCCAUUCAUUCUGUUCUUGCCUGAUUCUUGGAGUAAGCCUGCACAAUUAUUCAAAUCCCAGCUUUUAGCUACAGCAUACACCUCGCCAUGGGGCUAUGCCUCUGUAAUCUUGCUUUGGUCUUGCAUGUCAAAUGGAAUUAACUCCCAUAAGAAAUAUGUGCAAAGACAACCCAAAGUGUCUAAUCCCGCUGCUGUCUUAAAUUUUUGAAACUCUGAGCUGUCAUCUUUUUCUGUUGCUUUGUUGAAGUUCUCACUUAUGCUUCAGUCCAUCCAAAGCUGAAGUUUAGGAAAAUUCGCAUUUUUAUAUAUAUUUUCAGUUAUGCUCUCCCUUGGCCUUUUCACAUUUUCUCUUUAUAGGAGAAUUUUUUUCUUCCUUCAAAUUCCAAGACCAUCUUAUACACAGUGGAAUUUCAAGAAGAGGUGAAUUUGCUUUUUCUGCCCACCCUCCAGUCUACAAGGGGAGGACAUUGAAUCUUGCUCCAGAUGGGUCUGUUAUAUAACCACAACCAGGAAUAUGGAGUUAUCCCAGAGCUGACUGGGCCAGAAAACAUGGAUAACACAAUGCAAAUCUGACCCUAUUGCUGCCGGAGUGAAUCCAGAAGCCCUAAUAUACCCUGAUCAUGCACAGACAGAGAGAAGGUUGAACAAAAACUGUAUGAAACCUGUGCAAAGGGAAAUAACUGAAUCUUCAACACUGAAAGGCUAAGAGGUCUUCCUCCAGUUAUUAAAGGAGUGAAAAUUGUUGAACUCUAUAGGCAUUUAAUUUGUCAUUAAGUAGUACUACAGUGCUGGAGGUGCCUGGAGAGAGUGGAAGAUCUGCCCACCACAGCCUGUCUCAGGCCUGCUGGUGACCAUCCAUGCAUAUCACCACCCAGAAGCUCCUCAUUCUUACCUGUCAGGCAGACAGGACCUCCCAUUGCCUCCUCUACAUUCCUGUCCUUUUUUGAAGCAUUAUGGUCCUUGUGUGAAGCUGGGAAUGGGGAAGUUCAAGAGACCACCUGCAAAAAGGACUGUGCAAAGCAUCUUCUCAAUAACCUUGCCAACUCCCUGCAGCUGCCACAGGUCACCAAGUUAUCUGAGGGGUUUGGUCCCCAGACCUUCCUAACCCAUCCACAAGACUCAGCCCAGAAAACACGAUAAAGAGCCCAAAGAUUCAAAGGAAGAUUUUGAACUUGAUGAUGGAGGAAUAAUACUUCUUGGAGAAAUGAAGAUAAAGAUUGUUUCAUUCUUGGUACACCUGAGUGUCCAGUACCCAGUGAAUGUGAUAAGAAGUGGGCUGCUUACAAAGGGUACCUAGGCAGUGACAUCUGCACCUCUCGGAACCAGAUGCCACUGUGGACAUUUUCUCAACCUUUUUCCACUGUGCACACAGCUUGGCGUCCUGGCAGGCCUUUCCCCUAAUUUUUAACCUUCAGAUAUUCUAAGAGGGAGCUGAACAUAUGGUACAAACUGAAUAAAUGGGAGCAGAUGACUGCAAAGAGAACGUGAUUUAAUGUCAGGAAGAUAGACAAGUAGGUCUUUCUUAAAUUGAUAUGUGGUUGUAGGACCAUUGAAUCAUUUCUAUGUGAAUGUUCCUUCCUAGAUUUAGUAAAAUACUUCAAUUUGUGAGAAAUCCCAUGUCAAUAACAUAUAAACCGAGGAAAGCUUUAAGAUCUGUGCAGCUCCCAGAACAUCCUUAGAUUGUCUCUGCUUGCUCUUGUCACUUCCUCAAUGCCAGUCAUUCUUGUACAUUUCUUCCAUUGUAUUUUUCAUGAAGUAAACACAGUUAUUACCACAGAUUAGCAGACAAAUCGAGGCAGGGCUUCUCUUUUCUCCAUGAAGUUCUUCUGGACUUGUUUAUAUUGUAACAUCUUUGAAGGUGAGACACAUUCUAGUCUACAUUUGUUGGUACCUGGCACAUAUUGAGUACAUGGCCAAUUUUUUGACAGUAUCAAUUAAUAGUCAAACACGGAUGAAUGAAAAAGUUGAUGUUUUGUGAAGCCCUCAAUGAUUUAGAGAACAUUUAGAAAUGAAUCCAUUUCAUUUCCAAAGAAAAUUUUGCAUUAAGUUUUUUUUUUAAUUCUCCCAAGUGAGAUUUGGGGAAAUUUCAUAUGAUAAACUCUUUACAUUAUCUUGCAGUAAUUCCACAGAAAUCUCUAUUUAUGUAAACACAGUAAAUGCAUCAUAACACUAGAAUAAGUGUACAAAUACUGCAUGUCAAAUUAGGUUAUAAUCACUUUCAAGGGACGUGAUUUCCUAGCUAAACAGAUUCCUUUACAUUUUGCAAAAUAAAAAAUAAGUGAAAAUAACUAUAUAAAAUCAGGCUUACAGCUGGACAGAACUUCUUGGCAAUGGUCCAGACACUGAGCAGGGAAAACCCCUACAGCUGAGGAGUGUGUAGGGACUCUCGGGAUGACUUUGCAGGCUUGGCCUGGAGAGCUGCUCCUUUGGCUGAUUCCUGAGUGUGUACCUGUCCCUGAUGACCUGUAGGGAGAGAAGCUACAUUAACAUUUAAAAUGAGACUUGCUGUGAGAGGAUUAGGGGGUAGUGGGAGCAGAGUGGAAAUUUGUUUGGUUAAAGGGAAUAAAAAAUGUAAUUUGACAUUUCACCCUUAGGUAAAAAAGCAUGAUAGAGAAAGUCAGGGGUCUUGUAACUAAAAAAGUAAAUAGUUGAAGCUAACAUUGGAAUUGUUGAACAUUAGGUCAGGGUUUGAUUGCCAUGGAUCCUGUGGUCCAACCCGUGGAAUACAGAUGGGGAAAUGCUGGCUGCAGUGCAAAAAGCAGGGCUAGGUCUUGAGAUCAAGAAGUCUGCCUCCACAAACUGAUGUAUAUCUAUGAAAUAAUUGAAGCCUGUUCUUUGAAGAGAGUGAAUAGUUUAACAACUACUCAUUCUGGUGCAUAUCUUUAAAAAAUACAUUCUACAUCUCUCCAACACUUUCUACAACACUCUCUUAUUUUGAUUCCACAAGGGUAUAAUUGUAAGCCUCAGUUGCAAUAGAAUACUACAUAACUCAGUGGUAUUCUCUGUAGCCUAUUGGUAAUGCAGAGCUUUCACUUAGCUUCAAUAAAUUGUGUGUUUGCAUUUGGUUAUCUUUCCUAUGUUCCCUUAACUGUGUUCAUGUGCUUAUUUUUGUUGAUUUCAAGAAGUGACUAAAAUGGGGGAUUUUUUAAAAUCUGUUAAUUUUGACUUGAAGGUAGCUCACAAUUCUAUAUGUAUGAAGUGUUUCUGUUUUAGUUUAACUGAUACUAAUUUUUACUCAAAAUACAGUUGUUGAACACAUUUUCUAUAUACUGUGCAAAAGUUUCCCUCCACAUUCCAUUGGCUGAACUGCUGUGACCAGGGGUUGGCAAACUAUGCCCUGAAAGCUGAAACUAGUUCAGUGCCUGAUCUUGUAAAUAAAGUUUUAUUGAAAUACAAUCAUGCUAAUUUGUUUGUGUAUCAUCUAUGGAUGUUUUUGCACUCAAAUGGCAGAGUUAAGUACAUGG